UACUCUUUAACCCAGCUCCGAUUCUCUCCAAGGCCCAGACUCAGCAGCUCCUCCUACCCCACUCGGCGUUGCAAUCGGAUUCCUUCGCUGUUCUCUCAAGUAAUCUUCACAUAUCACUUUCUUCCGAUUCCGAAAUGUUGGUUUAUAUUUGAAAAUUUGACUUUGAGAGACUCGAACUGAACUUUGAUUGCAACGAUUGUUUUGUUGAUAUUGCUAGUGUGAUCUGCGUAUAAGAGAUGAUUUUUUCGUAUAAUGUAUGGCUGUUAUCGAAAUUGAACUCUAAAUCCAGAAUAAUGUGAAUUUUAUCUGUUAUUGGACUGGAAUUUGACAGAACACUGUUCGUACUUUGCAAUGACGCUGUUGAUGAUAAGACGCCGUGUGUCUUUUUAAACAGGUUGGGGAAUUUCGAUUUAUUUCCCUAAUUAUGAAUUAUAAAGCUCGGUAAACUAUCAACUUACAGUGCUUGCGGAAACCGUCUAAUUAUCGUCAAAAUUUUACUGGUGCUUCAGACAUGGAUCUUCUCUGUAGUGCAUACUCCGGGGACUCAGACGAUGAACCUGAAACGAAGCCUGAACCAACACCCGAACAUGAAAUCAGUAUGCUCCCUCUUCCAAAGAGGCAGAAACUUGGAUACUCAAAUCACCCAGUGCUUCCCCCGACCUACCAGUGUUCGCAUCUUUUAACUGAAUCUCCGGUUCCUGGGAGAUACAUAUCCAAAAGAGAGAGAGCAUUAUUAGAUUCCUUACCAGCAGCUCCAGGACAGGACCCGAAUCCUUCGGUCGUCAUUCCUCCAG
RNAcentral lists this long non-coding RNA (794 nucleotides) under Carica papaya (papaya). RNAcentral describes it as "long non-coding RNA (CPAP_LNC007404)". The record is from RNAcentral. Lineage: Eukaryota; Viridiplantae; Streptophyta; Magnoliopsida; Brassicales; Caricaceae.